CUACGGGUUGCUCCAGUGGGGAAUUUUGCGCAAUGGGGGAAACCCUGACGCAGCAAUACCGCGUGAGUGAAGAAGGCCUUUGGGUCGUAAAGCUCUUUUCUUGGGGAAGAUAGUGACGGUACCCAAGGAAUAAGCACCGGCUAACUCCGUGCCAGCAGCCGCGGUAAUACGGAGGGUGCAAGCGUUGUUCAGAUUUACUGGGCGUAAAGGGCACGUAGGCGGCACAGCAAGUUAAGGGUGAAAUCCCGGGGCUCAACUCCGGAACUGCUCUUAAAACUGCUGAGCUAGAGAUAGUCAGAGGCGGGUGGAAUUCCAGGUGUAGAGGUGAAAUUCGUAGAUAUCUGGAGGAACACCGGUGGCGAAGGCGGCCCGCUGGGGCUAUUCUGACGCUAAGGUGCGAAAGCGUGGGGAGCAAACGGGAUUAGAUACCCUUGUAGUC
Molecule: ribosomal RNA, 439 nt
Filed under: uncultured bacterium
Lineage: Bacteria
Description: partial 16S ribosomal RNA
Rfam family: Bacterial small subunit ribosomal RNA
Source: RNAcentral